GUACACGCUGUGACUAGCAUAUCAAUAAGCGGAGGAAAAGAAACUAACAAGGAUUCCCCUAGUAACGGCGAGUGAAGCGGGAAGAGCUCAAAUUUGAAAUCUUAAAGGGUUUCCCUUUACGAAUUGUAGUUUAAAGAAGUGUUUUCUGUUGAGGUUUUGGUAAAAGUUCUUUGGAAUAGGACAUCAUAGAGGGUGAGAAUCCCGUAUUUGACCUUUACUUUCAACUUUGUGAUACACUUUCAAAGAGUCGGAUUGUUUGGGAAUGCAGUCCAAAAUGGGUGGUAAAUUUCAUCUAAAGCUAAAUAUUGGCGAGAGACCGAUAGCGAACAAGUACCGUGAGGGAAAGAUGAAAAGAACUUUGAAAAGAGAGUUAAACAGUACGUGAAAUUGUCAAAAGGGAAGCGUUUGACACCAGUGUUGUUUUUCUGAAAAUCAAUUAAAGAACUGUUUAUGCUAAGUUGUUUAGACAUUUAUCAGCUAUCUGUUUAGUUUUGAGCUUUUCUUUAAUGCACUUUUCAGUUAACAAGUCAACAUCAAUUUCUUUUGCUGUAAAAAAGCUUGAGGAAGGUGGCUUGAGAUUCGUCUUAAGUGUUUAUAGCCUCUUGCCUAUGCAGUCGGAGAGAUUGAGGUCUGCAGCGUAGAUCCUUCGGGGCUAAAUGCAUUUGUGCUAAGUUAUAGCAUUUUAUAGACAACUUGUUGACUAUGAUUUGUCUUGUAGCUUACUCGCUUAUGUUAUUUUACCUACGCUUAGGAUGUUGAAGAUGUAGCACAUCAU
This 775-nucleotide ribosomal RNA is filed under the name uncultured Neocallimastigales. RNAcentral's name for it is "partial large subunit ribosomal RNA". It matches the Rfam family "Eukaryotic large subunit ribosomal RNA", at positions 22 to 635 of the family's 3401-position model. The record is from RNAcentral. Lineage: Eukaryota; Fungi; Neocallimastigomycota; Neocallimastigomycetes; Neocallimastigales.